AUACUUACCUGGCAAGGGAGACACCGUGAUCACCAAGGCGGUUCACCCAGGGCGAGGCUUGGCCAUUGCGAAUUUCCCAAAUGUGGAAAUCUCGAUUGCAUAAUUUCUGGUAGUGGGGGACUGUGUUCGCGCUCUCCCCUG
Esox lucius (northern pike) is the source of this 141-nucleotide small nuclear RNA. Its record names the gene U1. It matches the Rfam family "U1 spliceosomal RNA". Rfam says of the family: U1 is a small nuclear RNA (snRNA) component of the spliceosome (involved in pre-mRNA splicing). Its 5' end forms complementary base pairs with the 5' splice junction, thus defining the 5' donor site of an intron. The record is from Ensembl. Lineage: Eukaryota; Metazoa; Chordata; Actinopteri; Esociformes; Esocidae.